AAUUAUGAUACUAAUUAUGGUAUGACUUAUUUGGGAAUCAUUUCUGAAAACAUGGUUUAAAAAUUAAAGUUUUAUGUAACAUGUUUACACAUGAUUUCAAGAUGUUUCUCACAUCCCAUAGCCCACCUGUGGACCACACUUCUCUAAAACUAAACUCCAAUUUAGAGGUUAUUCUCCCAUGGAGCUAGAGCCUCAGUCAUGGAGGCCUGGCUGUAAACAUUGAGUAAAUCUUCCAUUCCACAUAUGUAUGCCCUGGUUCUGUUUUAAAAUGUUAUCCUACCUUGAGAGUUAACUAUGUCACUUUCCAGGCUAAUUUAUUAGCAGGUGAGAAUAAAAGCCAGAGGGGAUAGGGAACAAAGGAACAGAAGUAGAAGAAAGUAGAAGAAAGAGGGAGAAAGC
RNAcentral lists this long non-coding RNA (399 nucleotides) under Mus musculus (house mouse). RNAcentral describes it as "long non-coding RNA chr18:38299072-38299471". The record is from RNAcentral. Lineage: Eukaryota; Metazoa; Chordata; Mammalia; Rodentia; Muridae.